AAUGAACGUUGGCGGUGUGCCUAACACAUGCAAGUCGAACGAAAGGACAGUGAGCUCUUGCCUCUGCGGUUGGCGACGGGCGGACGAGUAAGGCAUUCAUCAGCAUCUUAUUUUUCGUGGAUGACAUCGUAAGGCAGCUUCUACUACUGCCUCAUACCUUCUACGGGUUGGUGCAGGGGAUCUUCGGGCCUUUCGUGAUUGAAUGAGCCGAUGUCGGAUUAGCUAGUUGGCUGGGUAAUGGCUUACCAAGGCAACGAUGCGUAGCUGAUCUGAGAGGGUGAGCGGCCACACUGGAACUGAGACACGAUCCAGACUCCUACGGGAGGCAGCAGUGGGGAAUCUUCGGCAAUGGGCGAAAGCCUGACGCAGCCACGCCGCGUGAGUGAUGAAGGUCUUCGGAUCGUAAAGCCCUGUUAUUAGGGAAGAACAGCUGUAGAUUAAAACAUGGACGUCUUGACGGUACCUAAUCAAUAAGCACCGGCUAACUACGUG
This 492-nucleotide ribosomal RNA is filed under the name uncultured bacterium. RNAcentral describes it as "partial 16S ribosomal RNA". It matches the Rfam family "Bacterial small subunit ribosomal RNA", at positions 29 to 507 of the family's 1533-position model. The record is from RNAcentral.